AUUGAACGCUGGCGGCAGGCCUAACACAUGCAAGUCGAGCGGAUGAAGGGAGCUUGCUCUCUGAUUCAGCGGCGGACGGGUGAGUAAUGCCUAGGAAUCUGCCUGGUAGUGGGGGACAACGUUUCGAAAGGAACGCUAAUACCGCAUACGUCCUACGGGAGAAAGCAGGGGGACCUUCGGGCCUUGCGCUAUCAGAUGAGCCUAGGUCGGAUUAGCUAGUUGGUGAGGUAAUGGCUCACCAAGGCGACGAUCCGUAACUGGUCUGAGAGGAUGAUCAGUCACACUGGAACUGAGACACGGUCCAGACUCCUACGGGAGGCAGCAGUGGGGAAUAUUGGACAAUGGGCGAAAGCCUGAUCCAGCCAUGCCGCGUGUGUGAAGAAGGUCUUCGGAUUGUAAAGCACUUUAAGUUGGGAGGAAGGGUUGUAGAUUAAUACUCUGCAAUUUUGACGUUACCGACAGAAUAAGCACCGGCUAACUCUGUG
RNAcentral lists this ribosomal RNA (485 nucleotides) under uncultured bacterium. RNAcentral describes it as "bacterial SSU rRNA". It matches the Rfam family "Bacterial small subunit ribosomal RNA", at positions 30 to 507 of the family's 1533-position model. The record is from RNAcentral.